GGGGGCUGAUCGUUCGGUCUAGCCUGCCCACUGAAAAUUUUAAAUGGCCGCAGUAUAUUAACUGUGCAAAGGUAGCAUAAUCAUUAGUCUUUUAAUUGAAGGCUGGUAUGAAUGGUUGGACGAAAUAUUUACUGUUUCAAAUAAAAUUGUUAUAGAAUUUUAUUUUUUAGUUAAAAAGCUAAAAUUUGAUUAAAAGACGAGAAGACCCUAUAAAUCUUGAUAGUUUAUUUAUUUUUAGUUAUAAAGAAUAAUUAUAUUAAAAUUAAAUAAAUUAUUUUAUUGGGGUGAUAUUAAAAUUUAAUAAACUUUUAAUUUAUUAAAUCAUUAAUUUAUGAAUAUUUGAUCCAAUUUUAUUGAUUAAAAAUUUAAGUUACUUUAGGGAUAACAGCGUAAUUUUUUUGGAGAGUUCAUAUCGAUAAAAAAGAUUGCGACCUCGAUGUUGGAUUAAGAGAUACCUUUAGGUGUAGCCGCUUAAAUAUUAAGUCUGUUCGACUUUUAAAUUCUUACGUGAUCUGAGUUCCAGACCGGA
This 529-nucleotide ribosomal RNA is filed under the name Lauxania cylindricornis. RNAcentral describes it as "partial 16S ribosomal RNA". It matches the Rfam family "Bacterial large subunit ribosomal RNA", at positions 1882 to 2620 of the family's 2925-position model. The record is from RNAcentral. Lineage: Eukaryota; Metazoa; Arthropoda; Insecta; Diptera; Lauxaniidae.